RNAcentral lists this long non-coding RNA (1254 nucleotides) under Gossypium raimondii (Peruvian cotton). Its description in RNAcentral is "long non-coding RNA (GRAI_LNC010177)". The record is from RNAcentral. Lineage: Eukaryota; Viridiplantae; Streptophyta; Magnoliopsida; Malvales; Malvaceae.
GUGUUGAUAGGAACACUUAUCCAUGUAUAUUCUAGGGAUUGUGUGGGAUCAUCUCAUUUGAUGCGGUGUUUGGUGAAGCGAGAUUGGGACUAUGCUUCUAGCAAGGUCGAGCUUCAUCAAAUUUUACCUUCAAGUAUAAGCAUCAGGUGUUUCGAUGAGAGGUGAUAUGGUGAGGGUAUAAUAAUUGCCCCUAAAUGAAAGGCAGGUUAUUGACCUACCUUGAGUUAAUAUCUAGUGAAACACUAAAACGACUUUUGAAAUGUCAUGAUUAAUGUCCAAUCAUUGUGCCCUUUCAUUAAUUACUCUCUGUUAGCUUUGAUUUAUAAAAUUUUUGAUAUAACAACAUUUAAGAUAUUUUUUUUCAUAUUAUUGCUUAGGUCAUUUAUGUUUCAAAACAAAAUAAAUAUUUUAGAAAAUAUUUUCAAAUCCAAAGCAAGCUUAAAGAAUGCUUGUUUAAAUUGAUUUUACUCAUAUCUUGUGCUCUUAAGUUAACUGAAAAGCUUUGAAAAUAUUUUAAAGUGUGUUUUUGAAACAAAAAUAACAAUUUUAAUAGCUAAGUGUCGAUACCCCUAGGCUAGUAUCCGUAGGCCUUUCUAGAGGGGUAAGAUAAUACUUGUUCUUGAGGCACCGAUACACACCCAAGUAUCAUAUUUUACGUAAAGUAUCAGUCCCAAGUAUCGUAUUUUACGUAAAGUAUCAGUGCCUUGAAAUGUCAAUAGCCAAAGCUUUUUUCUAGAUGGGCAAGGUAUCUAUACCUUGAUACCUGUUAUUGAGGUAUCGAUACCUAACCCAAAAAGUAUCAACACCUCAUUAUUUAUAAUGACUAUUUUUUUUAGAAGUAUGGAUACCCUCUUCAUAGGUAAUGAUACAUUAGGAUGUAGGGUUGUUUCAACUUGCAUUUGUAAUGCCUCUAACGGCUCUUUUUCAUCCCCUACGACCAUAAAUAGCUAGAAUUCACUUCAUUGACAUAACGAAAGGUCGAUGAAUGAAGAGAUAUCAACGCAUUCAAGCAAGCAAAUUUUUAGUUCAUUUCUUUCCUCUUUUCUUGUUUAUUAUUUAUUGAGCUUUAUUGAAAAUCAUUAUGAUUAAAUGCUACAGUUACAUAUUUUAUAUAAUUAAAUUGGUUAAUUUAUGAGAAUGCACCACUAAUUUUGCCAUAUUUAUUGAAUUUUGUGCAGGAAUGCAAUUUGGGGCUAAAUAGAAGAAAAAGGAAACAAUUGGGCUAGAUUGAAGAAAGAAGCAAAGAAGGAGGGC